Molecule: small nucleolar RNA, 116 nt
Organism: Nannospalax galili (Upper Galilee mountains blind mole rat)
Lineage: Eukaryota; Metazoa; Chordata; Mammalia; Rodentia; Spalacidae
Product: small nucleolar RNA SNORA64/SNORA10 family
Exons: 1
Source: RefSeq, a predicted model, not a curated record
UCUCACACUCUGCAUAAUUAUACUUGGUUUCACCUUUGUGACUUUUGUACCUGAGAGAGGAAAGAGCUCCUCAGGAUCUUACAAUGGCCCCUAUUGCCUAGAGGAACUCUACAGUU